UUGAAGAGAGAGUUCAAGAGUACGUGAAACCGCCCAGAGGUAAACGGGUGGAUCCGCAAAGUCGGCCCGCGGAAUUCAGCGCGGCGCGCAGACCUGGGCUGCCGUGGCUCGGGAUCCCUGGGACCCAGCCGUGGCGCCGUUCGGGGCUCCGCCGCGUGCACUUUCCGCGGGCAGAGUGCUACAACCGGUUCGGCGGUGGCUAAAAGCUUGCAGGGUUGUAGGUGGGGGCGCUUGCGUCCCUACCAGCCCUUCUGUGACGAGCGGCCGCCGGACCGAGGGAAGGCCGCGCGCUUCGAGGCCACCCUCCCCUCCUGGUGAGUUCGACUGGGAGAGACUGGGCAACCGUGUCUCCCGACCGCUCAUCUGUGAUCGGCGUGGGGCUGGCCGGGCGUGCAUUUUGUCUGUCAAGGUUGGUGGCAAGUAUGUCGGCAUUCCACCCGACCCGUCUUGAAACACGGACCAAGGAGUCUAACAUGCGCGCGAGUCAUUGGGCGGUACGAAACCCAAAGGCGCAGUGAAAGCGAGGGUCGUCUUUCGACGACCCAGGUGGGAUCCAUCCU
This 560-nucleotide ribosomal RNA is filed under the name Anceyoconcha carinata. Its description in RNAcentral is "partial large subunit ribosomal RNA". It matches the Rfam family "Eukaryotic large subunit ribosomal RNA", at positions 376 to 748 of the family's 3401-position model. The record is from RNAcentral. Lineage: Eukaryota; Metazoa; Mollusca; Gastropoda; Stylommatophora; Camaenidae.